AGCGAACGCUGGCGGCAGGCCUAACACAUGCAAGUCGAGCGAGGACUUCGGUCCUAGCGGCGGACGGGUGAGUAACGCGUGGGAACGUGCCCUUUGCUUCGGAAUAGCCCUGGGAAACUGGGAGUAAUACCGGAUGAGCCCUUUGGGGGAAAGAUUUAUCGGCGAAGGAUCGGCCCGCGUUGGAUUAGGUAGUUGGUGGGGUAAUGGCCUACCAAGCCGACGAUCCAUAGCUGGUUUGAGAGGAUGAUCAGCCACACUGGGACUGAGACACGGCCCAGACUCCUACGGGAGGCAGCAGUGGGGAAUCUUAGACAAUGGGGGAAACCCUGAUCGAGCCAUGCCGCGUGAGCGAUGAAGGCCUUAGGGUUGUAAAGCUCUUUCAGCUGGGAAGAUAAUGACGGUACCAGCAGAAGAAGCCCCGGCUAACUCCGUG
This 433-nucleotide ribosomal RNA is filed under the name uncultured bacterium. Its description in RNAcentral is "partial 16S ribosomal RNA". It matches the Rfam family "Bacterial small subunit ribosomal RNA", at positions 29 to 507 of the family's 1533-position model. The record is from RNAcentral.